Molecule: ribosomal RNA, 1359 nt
Filed under: uncultured bacterium
Lineage: Bacteria
Description: bacterial SSU rRNA
Rfam family: Bacterial small subunit ribosomal RNA
Source: RNAcentral
AUUGAACGCUGGCGGCAUGCCUUACACAUGCAAGUCGAACGGCAGCACGGACUUCGGUCUGGUGGCGAGUGGCGAACGGGUGAGUAAUGUAUCGGAACGUACCUUUCAGUGGGGGAUAACGUAGCGAAAGUUACGCUAAUACCGCAUAUUCUGUGAGCAGGAAAGCAGGGGAUCGCAAGACCUUGCGCUGAUUGAGCGGCCGAUAUCAGAUUAGCUAGUUGGUGGGGUAAAGGCCUACCAAGGCUACGAUCUGUAGCGGGUCUGAGAGGAUGAUCCGCCACACUGGAACUGAGACACGGUCCAGACUCCUACGGGAGGCAGCAGUGGGGAAUUUUGGACAAUGGGGGCAACCCUGAUCCAGCCAUGCCGCGUGAGUGAAGAAGGCCUUCGGGUUGUAAAGCUCUUUCGGCCGGGAAGAAAUCGCAUCAGCUAAUACCUGGUGUGGAUGACGGUACCGGAAUAAGAAGCACCGGCUAACUACGUGCCAGCAGCCGCGGUAAUACGUAGGGUGCGAGCGUUAAUCGGAAUUACUGGGCGUAAAGCGUGCGCAGGCGGUUGUGUAAGACAGGCGUGAAAUCCCCGGGCUCAACCUGGGAACUGCGCUUGUGACUGCACAGCUAGAGUACGGCAGAGGGGGGUGGAAUUCCACGUGUAGCAGUGAAAUGCGUAGAGAUGUGGAGGAACACCGAUGGCGAAGGCAGCCCCCUGGGCCGAUACUGACGCUCAUGCACGAAAGCGUGGGUAGCAAACAGGAUUAGAUACCCUGGUAGUCCACGCCCUAAACGAUGUCAACUAGGUGUUGGGUGGGUAAAACCAUUUAGUACCGUAGCUAACGCGUGAAGUUGACCGCCUGGGGAGUACGGCCGCAAGGUUAAAACUCAAAGGAAUUGACGGGGACCCGCACAAGCGGUGGAUGAUGUGGAUUAAUUCGAUGCAACGCGAAAAACCUUACCUACCCUUGACAUGUCCAGAAGCCCGGAGAGAUUUGGGUGUGCCCGAAAGGGAACUGGAACACAGGUGCUGCAUGGCUGUCGUCAGCUCGUGUCGUGAGAUGUUGGGUUAAGUCCCGCAACGAGCGCAACCCUUGUCGUUAAUUGCCAUCAUUUAGUUGGGCACUUUAACGAGACUGCCGGUGACAAACCGGAGGAAGGUGGGGAUGACGUCAAGUCCUCAUGGCCCUUAUGGGUAGGGCUUCACACGUCAUACAAUGGUCGGUACAGAGGGUUGCCAAGCCGCGAGGUGGAGCCAAUCCCAGAAAGCCGAUCGUAGUCCGGAUUGCAGGCUGCAGCUCGCCUGCAUGAAGUCGGAAUCGCUAGUAAUCGCGGAUCAGCAUGUCGCGGUGAAUACGUUCCCGGGUCU